Molecule: transfer RNA, 75 nt
Filed under: Caudoviricetes sp.
Lineage: Duplodnaviria; Heunggongvirae; Uroviricota; Caudoviricetes
Description: tRNA-Asn
Rfam family: tRNA
About the family: Transfer RNA (tRNA) molecules are approximately 80 nucleotides in length. Their secondary structure includes four short double-helical elements and three loops (D, anti-codon, and T loops).
Source: RNAcentral
GGCUCAGUAGCUCAGAGGCAGAGCGUGCGGCCGUUAACCGCAAGGUCGAGAUAUCAUAAUUCUCCUGAGCCUCCA